UACGGGGGGGGCAAGCGUUGUUCGGAAUUACUGGGCGUAAAGGGCUCGUAGGUGGCCAACUAAGUCAGACGUGAAAUCCCUCGGCUUAACCGGGGAACUGCGUCUGAUACUGGAUGGCUUGAGUUCGGGAGAGGGAUGCGGAAUUCCAGGUGUAGCGGUGAAACGCGUAGAUAUCUGGAGGAACACCGGUGGCGAAGGCGGCAUCCUGGACCGACACUGACACUGAGGAGCGAAAGCCAGGGGAGCAAACGGG
Molecule: ribosomal RNA, 253 nt
Filed under: uncultured bacterium
Lineage: Bacteria
Description: partial 16S ribosomal RNA
Rfam family: Bacterial small subunit ribosomal RNA
Source: RNAcentral